RNAcentral lists this ribosomal RNA (1135 nucleotides) under Salmonella enterica. RNAcentral's name for it is "bacterial SSU rRNA". It matches the Rfam family "Bacterial small subunit ribosomal RNA", at positions 1 to 1129 of the family's 1533-position model. RNAcentral also lists the same sequence under 1 other name. The record is from RNAcentral. Lineage: Bacteria; Pseudomonadati; Pseudomonadota; Gammaproteobacteria; Enterobacterales; Enterobacteriaceae.
UGAAGAGUUUGAUCAUGGCUCAGAUUGAACGCUGGCGGCAGGCCUAACACAUGCAAGUCGAACGGUAACAGGAAGCAGCUUGCUGCUUUGCUGACGAGUGGCGGACGGGUGAGUAAUGUCUGGGAAACUGCCUGAUGGAGGGGGAUAACUACUGGAAACGGUGGCUAAUACCGCAUAACGUCGCAAGACCAAAGAGGGGGACCUUCGGGCCUCUUGCCAUCAGAUGUGCCCAGAUGGGAUUAGCUUGUUGGUGAGGUAACGGCUCACCAAGGCGACGAUCCCUAGCUGGUCUGAGAGGAUGACCAGCCACACUGGAACUGAGACACGGUCCAGACUCCUACGGGAGGCAGCAGUGGGGAAUAUUGCACAAUGGGCGCAAGCCUGAUGCAGCCAUGCCGCGUGUAUGAAGAAGGCCUUCGGGUUGUAAAGUACUUUCAGCGGGGAGGAAGGUGUUGUGGUUAAUAACCGCAGCAAUUGACGUUACCCGCAGAAGAAGCACCGGCUAACUCCGUGCCAGCAGCCGCGGUAAUACGGAGGGUGCAAGCGUUAAUCGGAAUUACUGGGCGUAAAGCGCACGCAGGCGGUCUGUCAAGUCGGAUGUGAAAUCCCCGGGCUCAACCUGGGAACUGCAUUCGAAACUGGCAGGCUUGAGUCUUGUAGAGGGGGGUAGAAUUCCAGGUGUAGCGGUGAAAUGCGUAGAGAUCUGGAGGAAUACCGGUGGCGAAGGCGGCCCCCUGGACAAAGACUGACGCUCAGGUGCGAAAGCGUGGGGAGCAAACAGGAUUAGAUACCCUGGUAGUCCACGCCGUAAACGAUGUCUACUUGGAGGUUGUGCCCUUGAGGCGUGGCUUCCGGAGCUAACGCGUUAAGUAGACCGCCUGGGGAGUACGGCCGCAAGGUUAAAACUCAAAUGAAUUGACGGGGGCCCGCACAAGCGGUGGAGCAUGUGGUUUAAUUCGAUGCAACGCGAAGAACCUUACCUGGUCUUGACAUCCACAGAACUUUCCAGAGAUGGAUUGGUGCCUUCGGGAACUGUGAGACAGGUGCUGCAUGGCUGUCGUCAGCUCGUGUUGUGAAAUGUUGGGUUAAGUCCCGCAACGAGCGCAACCCUUAUCCUUUGUUGCCAGCGAUUAGG